RNAcentral lists this ribosomal RNA (1246 nucleotides) under Phytoplasma sp. RNAcentral's name for it is "bacterial SSU rRNA". It matches the Rfam family "Bacterial small subunit ribosomal RNA", at positions 153 to 1399 of the family's 1533-position model. The record is from RNAcentral. RNAcentral also lists the same sequence under 1 other name. Lineage: Bacteria; Bacillati; Mycoplasmatota; Mollicutes; Acholeplasmatales; Acholeplasmataceae.
GAAACGACUGCUAAGACUGGAUAGGAGACAAGAAGGCAUCUUCUUGUUUUUAAAAGACCUAGCAAUAGGUAUGCUUAGGGAGGAGCUUGCGUCACAUUAGUUAGUUGGUGGGGUAAAGGCCUACCAAGACUAUGAUGUGUAGCCGGGCUGAGAGGUUGAACGGCCACAUUGGGACUGAGACACGGCCCAAACUCCUACGGGAGGCAGCAGUAGGGAAUUUUCGGCAAUGGAGGAAACUCUGACCGAGCAACGCCGCGUGAACGAUGAAGUAUUUCGGUACGUAAAGUUCUUUUAUUAGGGAAGAAUAAAUGAUGGAAAAAUCAUUCUGACGGUACCUAAUGAAUAAGCCCCGGCUAACUAUGUGCCAGCAGCCGCGGUAAUACAUAGGGGGCAAGCGUUAUCCGGAAUUAUUGGGCGUAAAGGGUGCGUAGGCGGUUAAAUAAGUUUAUGGUCUAAGUGCAAUGCUCAACAUUGUGAUGCUAUAAAAACUGUUUAGCUAGAGUAAGAUAGAGGCAAGUGGAAUUCCAUGUGUAGUGGUAAAAUGCGUAAAUAUAUGGAGGAACACCAGUAGCGAAGGCGGCUUGCUGGGUCUUUACUGACGCUGAGGCACGAAAGCGUGGGGAGCAAACAGGAUUAGAUACCCUGGUAGUCCACGCCGUAAACGAUGAGUACUAAACGUUGGGUAAAACCAGUGUUGAAGUUAACACAUUAAGUACUCCGCCUGAGUAGUACGUACGCAAGUAUGAAACUUAAAGGAAUUGACGGGACUCCGCACAAGCGGUGGAUCAUGUUGUUUAAUUCGAAGGUACCCGAAAAACCUCACCAGGUCUUGACAUGCUUCUGCAAAGCUGUAGAAACACAGUGGAGGUUAUCAGUUGCACAGGUGGUGCAUGGUUGUCGUCAGCUCGUGUCGUGAGAUGUUGGGUUAAGUCCCGCAACGAGCGCAACCCUUAUUGUUAGUUACCAGCACGUAAUGGUGGGGACUUUAGCAAGACUGCCAGUGAUAAAUUGGAGGAAGGUGGGGACGACGUCAAAUCAUCAUGCCCCUUAUGACCUGGGCUACAAACGUGAUACAAUGGCUGUUGCAAAGGGUAGCUGAAGCGCAAGUUUUUGGCGAAUCUCAAAAAAACAGUCUCAGUUCGGAUUGAAGUCUGCAACUCGACUUCAUGAAGUUGGAAUCGCUAGUAAUCGCGAAUCAGCAUGUCGCGGUGAAUACGUUCUCGGGGUUUGUACACACCGCCCGUCA